Molecule: long non-coding RNA, 123 nt
Organism: Epinephelus lanceolatus (giant grouper)
Lineage: Eukaryota; Metazoa; Chordata; Actinopteri; Perciformes; Serranidae
Source: RefSeq, a predicted model, not a curated record
GUGCUGCCGAGCCGCGGUCGUGACAUAUGUUUGCUGCAGGAGCUGCCUACCGUAUCACCGCGCUACCGCUGUGUUCCGAGGUUGUCACUAGAAAGCGAACUGGGUCAGAAGCUUCGUAAUGAC